This is a long non-coding RNA of Lycium barbarum (goji berry), 1488 nucleotides long. RefSeq lists it as uncharacterized. Lineage: Eukaryota; Viridiplantae; Streptophyta; Magnoliopsida; Solanales; Solanaceae. The record is from RefSeq and is a predicted model, not a curated record. The transcript is spliced from 3 exons.
GGGUUCCUCUCAAAAGAGGAGAGAAACCCUAGCUUCCACAGGCCGUCCUUCUCUCUCCUCUCGUCAUCAGCGCCAUUUUUGGCAAUGUCACAAGCGCACCAUGUUUUCUCUAGGUCUGGCAUGGCCUAAUGGAGAAAAGCAUUAAAUUCUUCCGCCCUUUUUCACCAAACGCCACCCCAAACAACGUGUAACUUGUAUUUUAUUUGCCUUUUAGAUGAAUUAACGGUUAAUAGGUCUAAGAAACCUUAAUUGCUUCUGUUGUAUGCGAAUUUGAAUACUCGUCUCCCAUUGGUUCAUGAGGAACCGAAUGGAUUGAUCAAUUUUCCAUCAAAUAUGACCCUUUAUUGUUUGUUUGUUUGAAUCCUGACCUUGGAUUGUUGAUGGAAGGGCACCAUUCCACAAAAUUGUGGAAAGUCCCACAUCGGCUAAACUAGGUUUGGAUUCCAAAUUGGGGUUCUAUAUAAAGAACCCACAAUUCAUAGACACAGGGACCGAAUAUAAUCACAUAUUCACAAAAAUUCAAAAAUACCUAUGGUUAUAGCAAUUUGCUUGAAACCUAAUUUUUUUGGAUUAUUCAAAGUUUUAGAGUUUUUUUUUUGGUUGUGUGUGGCUAAGGUAGCGGUUAAGGAGCAAGAAGUGUCUCCAAAUCCAUUCUCGACUAGGCUGCGUUAAUAGAAGGCCGUACGUUCCUCGGCGCUAAUAUAUAUGGAUCGGGUUGCACGUUCCGCAGCACUAUAUUUAUGGAUCGGGUCAUACACUCCUCGGCACUAACAUAGAUAGAUCGGACUGUUCAAUCAGUCAGGCCAGCAGCCUAGCGUAGUGGGAUAUUAACUCAGCUGCAGUCAGUGCGCUCCACUUGGUUCGGAGCUACAGUUUCUUUUGGUAUGCCAUUUUGAUUCGUACAUAUGAGUAUGACGAGGCCUUGCCCUGUCCCCUCUACAGUUUAUGUUCUAUAGAGGUCUAAAGAUAGUUGUAUGUAGGUUGGAGGUUAUGUAGUCUUGUCAGCUCUUAUUUUUAUCAUACAGUAUAUGUAGCGGCCUAGCCGACUUGCACCAUUAUCUUCUGCACAUAUAUGUAUACACUGGUUGAAGUUCUUGGCGCAGCGUUUGUUAUGUUGCUAUUGCAGAAGUGUAUAGUUCAAUUAAAAAUCAUAUAGGGGCCACCAUGUUGGUCAGUGAGUUUCAGGUAUGAAUAUAAGUGUAACGACCCGUUUGGUCGUUAUAGUUUUUUGACCCAUUUAACCUUGUUGACCCUUUUCCCGAGUCGCAUUAGUAUGAUCUAUGACUUAAUGAAGACAUUAGGUUGGCUUCCUGUUAUAGCCCGUAUUUUGUACGUUCGGAUAAUUCAAGAUAAUUGCGAGAAGAUAAGGGCAAGACUAUUUUCCAAAAUUAUUUUAAUGUAUAAGUUGUUUAUUAGUAUGGAAAUGUUGAGGAAGGCUAAGGGUAAAAAGGGAAAUUCACAAGUGGUUUGUGGUAAUAUUAAGGAAGG